CCUACGGGGGGCUGCAGUGGGGAAUAUUGGACAAUGGGGGCAACCCUGAUCCAGCCAUGCCGCGUGUGUGAAGAAGGCCCUCGGGUUGUAAAGCACUUUCAGUGAGGAAGAACGCCUGGUGGUUAAUACCCAUCAGGAAAGACAUCACUCACAGAAGAAGCACCGGCUAACUCCGUGCCAGCAGCCGCGGUAAUACGGAGGAUGCGAGCGUUAAUCGGAAUUACUGGGCGUAAAGCGCGCGUAGGUGGCUUGAUAAGCCGGUUGUGAAAGCCCCGGGCUCAACCUGGGAACGGCAUCCGGAACUGUCAAGCUAGAGUGCAGGAGAGGAAGGUAGAAUUCCCGGUGUAGCGGUGAAAUGCGUAGAGAUCGGGAGGAAUACCAGUGGCGAAGGCGGCCUUCUGGACUGACACUGACACUGAGGUGCGAAAGCGUGGGUAGCAAACAGGAUUAGAUACCCCUGUAGUC
Molecule: ribosomal RNA, 465 nt
Filed under: Vreelandella stevensii
Lineage: Bacteria; Pseudomonadati; Pseudomonadota; Gammaproteobacteria; Oceanospirillales; Halomonadaceae
Description: partial 16S ribosomal RNA
Rfam family: Bacterial small subunit ribosomal RNA
Source: RNAcentral